AUGGUGGUGAUAGCGUUUAUCCUGGUAUUACCAAAGAUAAAACAAAGAAUGAACAGGGGAAACACCACAGAACAGAAUGCCACAAAAAGUCCUGGGACCUCCACUGAAUAUGUGUAUGAAGACAUGAGAAAGAACCCUGUGUACUCCCGUGUUGGUCAUCAGCCGUGCCCACAAGCCUGACAAGGCUAGAGCAGCAUUACUGUAAAAACUUUUUCCAAACGGAAUUUGACAUAAGUUUCAUGUUUUGUUAUUGUCUAUUCUUGUCUAUUCACUCUCUUGGCAUUCUCUUGAUGAGCUUCAAGAGGUAGUCACCUUAAAUGGUCUUCCAACAGUCUUGAAGGAGUUCCCAGAGAUGCUUAGCACUUGUUGACCCUUUUGCCUUCACUCUGCGGUCCAGCUCACCCCAAACCAUCUCGAUUGGGUUCAGACCUGGAGGUGUGUUUGGGGUCAUUGUCCCCUAUUGAAAAAUAAAUAAUGGUCCAACUAAACGCAAACUGGAUGGAAUAGCAUGCCACUGCAAGAUGCUGUGGUAGCCAUGCUGGCUCUGUAUGCCUUCAAUUUUGAAUAAAUCCUCAAAAGUGUCACCAGCAAAGCACCCCCACACCAUCACAACUCCUCCUCCAUGCUUCACGGUGGGAACCAGGCAUGUAGAAUCCAUCCGUUCACCUUUUCUGCAUGACACAAAGACACGGUGGUUGGAACCAAAAACCUAAAAUGUGGACUCGUCAGACCAAAGCCCAGAUUUCCACUGGUCUAAUGUCCAUUCCUUGUGUUCUUUAGCCCAAACAAGUCUCCUCUGCUUGUUGCCUUUCUUUAGCAGUGGUGUCCUAGCAGAUAUUUGACUAUGAAGGCCUGCUUUACACAGUUUCCCUGUAACAGUUGUUGUAGAGAUGUGUCUGCUGCUAGAACUCUGUGUACCAUUGACCUGCUCUCUAAUCUGAGCUGCUGUUAACCUGCCAUUUCUGAGGCUGGUGACUCGGAUGAACUUAUCCUCUGCAGCAGAGGUGACUCUUGGUCUUCCUUUCCUGGGGAGGUCCGCAUGUGAGCCAGUUUCUUUGUAGCGCUUGAUGGUUUUUGUGACUGCACUUGGGGACACUUUCAAAGUUUUCCCAAUUUUUCAGACCGACUGACCUUCAUUUCUUAAAGAAAUGAUGGCCACUCGUUUUUUCUGUACUUAGCUGCUUUUUUCCUUGGCAUAAUACAAAUUCUAACAGUCUAUUCAGUAGGACUAUCAGCUGUGUAUCCACCUGACUUCUGCACAAUACAACUGAUGGUCCCAACCCCAUUUAUAAGGCAAGAAAUCACACUUAUUAAACCUGACAGGGCAGACCUGUGAAGUGGAAAACAUUUCAGGCGACUACCUCUUGAAGCUCAUCAAGAGAAUGCCAAGAGUCUGCAAAGCAGUAAUCAAAGCAAAAGGUGGCUACAAUGAAAAACCUACAAUAUGACAUAUUUUCAGUUGUUUCACACUUUUUUGUUAUGUACAUAAUUCCACAUAUGUUAAUUCAUAGUUUUGACGCCUUCAGUGUGAACCUACAAUUUUCAUAGUCAUAAAAAUAAAGAAAACUCUUUGAAUGAGAAGGUGUGUCCAAACAUUUGGUCUGUACUGUUUAUUGUUAAAUGUUUCAUGGAUUAAAGGUCUGUGUUAUCAUUUUUGAAAUGUUAAGUCCAUUAGUACUAUUUUUCUUUUCAUAUUAUGGUUGAAAACAAGAGGUGCUGUCAAAAAGAAAGAGCUUUCUUUGGUGUUUGCAAUAUUGUCUCUGCAUGCAAUGAGAAGCUGACCACCUGAACACCAAAGAGUGUGUCAUGGUCGAACACUAUGGAGACCCAGUUGCUGGAACCCGGAAGAAACUCAGGAGACGAGGCAGAGUCAGAAGAUUUAAUCUGAGGGUGAUGCGAGUCG
RNAcentral lists this long non-coding RNA (1903 nucleotides) under Oryzias sinensis (Chinese medaka). RNAcentral describes it as "lncRNA (ENSOSIG00000007665.1)". The record is from RNAcentral. Lineage: Eukaryota; Metazoa; Chordata; Actinopteri; Beloniformes; Adrianichthyidae.